Molecule: ribosomal RNA, 462 nt
Filed under: Megophrys carinense (Burmese horned frog)
Lineage: Eukaryota; Metazoa; Chordata; Amphibia; Anura; Megophryidae
Description: partial 16S ribosomal RNA
Rfam family: Bacterial large subunit ribosomal RNA
Source: RNAcentral
CUUGUUUUUUAAAUAAAGACUAGUAUGAACGGCCCCACGAGGACUUAACUGUCUCCCUUGUCCAAUCAGUGAAACUGAUCUCCCCGUGCAGAAGCGAGGAUCUUUCCAUAAGACGAGAAGACCCUAUGGAGCUUUAAACUAAAAUCAACUAUUAUUCACCCAUUUUCUAAGGAACCAACAAAUAACUGAAUAUGCUUGACUUAAGUUUUAGGUUGGGGCGACCAUGGAGAAAAAAAGAUCCUCCCUGAUGACUAUAAACCAAGAACCACAACUCUAAGUAUUAAGAUACUUAACUCUAAUUGACCCAUUUUUGAUCAACGAACUAAGUUACCCUAGGGAUAACAGCGCAAUCCAUUUCAAGAGUCCCUAUCGACAAAUGGGUUUACGACCUCGAUGUUGGAUCAGGGCAUCCAAGUGGUGCAGCCGCUACUAAUGGUUCGUUUGUUCAACGAUUAAAGCCCU